CAAUAGCGUAUAUUAAAGUUGUUGCAGUUAAAAAGCUCGUAGUUGGAUUUCGGGGUGGCCUGGCUGGUCCGCCGCAAGGUGAGUACUGGUCAGCCGCCCUUCCUCUCGAAAGCCCCGACUGCUCUUUACUGCAGUGGUCGGGUAGUUCGGGACGUUUACUUUGAAAAAAUCAGAGUGUUCAAGGCAGGCUAUCGCCUGAAUACAUUAGCAUGGAAUAAUGGAAGAGGACCUCGGUCCUAUUUUGUUGGUUUCUAGGGCCGAAGUAAUGAUUAAGAGGGACAGUUGGGGGCAUUCGUAUUUAAUUGUCAGAGGUGAAAUUCUUGGAUUUAUGAAAGACGAACUAGUGCGAAAGCAUUUGCCAAGGAUGUUUUCAUUAA
RNAcentral lists this ribosomal RNA (377 nucleotides) under uncultured eukaryote. RNAcentral describes it as "partial 18S ribosomal RNA". It matches the Rfam family "Eukaryotic small subunit ribosomal RNA", at positions 592 to 976 of the family's 1831-position model. The record is from RNAcentral.